CCCCAGACUCUGGGAUAACCCCGGGAAACCGGAGCUAAUACCGGAUAUGACACCAGGUCGCAUGGGCAUGGUGUGGAAAGUUUUUCGGUCUGGGAUGGACUCGCGGCCUAUCAGCUUGUUGGUGAGGUAGUGGCUCACCAAGGCGACGACGGGUAGCCGGCCUGAGAGGGCGACCGGCCACACUGGGACUGAGACACGGCCCAGACUCCUACGGGAGGCAGCAGUGGGGAAUAUUGCACAAUGGGCGAAAGCCUGAUGCAGCGACGCCGCGUGAGGGAUGACGGCCUUCGGGUUGUAAACCUCUUUCAGCAGGGAAGAAGCGCAAGUGACGGUACCUGCAGAAGAAGCACCGGCUAACUACGUGCCAGCAGCCGCGGUAAUACGUAGGGUGCGAGCGUUGUCCGGAAUUAUUGGGCGUAAAGAGCUUGUAGGUGGUUUGUCGCGUCUGCUGUGAAAAUCCGAGGCUCAACCUCGGACUUGCAGUGGGUACGGGCAGACUAGAGUGUGGUAGGGGAGACUGGAAUUCCUGGUGUAGCGGUGGAAUGCGCAGAUAUCAGGAGGAACACCGAUGGCGAAGGCAGGUCUCUGGGCCAUUACUGACACUGAGAAGCGAAAGCAUGGGGAGCGAACAGGAUUAGAUACCCUGGUAGUCCAUGCCGUAAACGUUGGGAACUAGGUGUGGGUCUCAUUCCACGAGAUCC
Molecule: ribosomal RNA, 701 nt
Filed under: Terrabacter sp. I13A-01704
Lineage: Bacteria; Bacillati; Actinomycetota; Actinomycetes; Micrococcales; Intrasporangiaceae
Description: bacterial SSU rRNA
Rfam family: Bacterial small subunit ribosomal RNA
Source: RNAcentral